This 440-nucleotide ribosomal RNA is filed under the name uncultured bacterium. RNAcentral's name for it is "partial 16S ribosomal RNA". It matches the Rfam family "Bacterial small subunit ribosomal RNA", at positions 338 to 795 of the family's 1533-position model. The record is from RNAcentral.
CCUACGGGUGGCAGCAGUGGGGAAUAUUGCUCAAUGGGCGCAAGCCUGAUGCAGCGACGCCGCGUGAGUGAAGAAGUCUUUCGGUUUGUAAACCUCUUUCAGCAGGGACGAAAAUGACGAUGCUUGCUUAGGAAGCACCGGCUAACGACGUCCUAGCAGCCGCGGUAAUAAGUAGGGGGCAAGAGUUAUCCGGCUUUACUGGGUGUAAAGGGAGCGUAGAAGGCAGCGCAGGUCCGAAGUGAAAUGACGGGGCUUAACCACGGGACUGCUUUUGAAACUGUGCAGCUAGAGUGCAGGUGAGGGAAGUGGAAUUCCUAGUGUAGCGGUGAAAUGCGUAGAUAUUAGGAGGAACACCAGUGGCGAAGGCGGCUUACUGGACUGUAACUGACGCUGAGGCGCGAAAGCGUGGGGAGCAAACAGGAUUAGAUACCCGGGUAGUC